UACGUAGGGUGCGAGCGUUGUCCGGAAUUACUGGGCGUAAAGAGCUCGUAGGUGGUUUGUCGCGUUGUUCGUGAAAUCCCACGGCUUAACUGUGGGCGUGCGGGCGAUACGGGCAGACUGGAGUACUGCAGGGGAGACUGGAAUUCCUGGUGUAGCGGUGGAAUGCGCAGAUAUCAGGAGGAACACCGGUGGCGAAGGCGGGUCUCUGGGCAGUAACUGACGCUAAGGAGCGAAAGCGUGGGGAGCGAACAGG
RNAcentral lists this ribosomal RNA (253 nucleotides) under uncultured bacterium. RNAcentral's name for it is "partial 16S ribosomal RNA". It matches the Rfam family "Bacterial small subunit ribosomal RNA", at positions 524 to 776 of the family's 1533-position model. The record is from RNAcentral.